GGACUACAGGGGUUUCUAAUCCCGUUUGCUCCCCCAGCUUUCGCGCCUCAGCGUCAAGAAUGCCCCAGGAGACCGCCUUCGCCACUGGUGUUCCUACCGAUAUCUACGCAUUUCACCGCUACACCGGUAAUUCCAUCUCCCCCUAGCACCUUCAAGACUGGCAGUAUCCACCGACCCUCCGGAGUUAAGCUCCGGGCUUUCACAGCGGACUUACCAACCCGCCUACGCGCGCUUUACGCCCAGUAACUUCGGACAACGCUAGCCCCCUCCGUAUUACCGCGGCUGCUGGCAC
Molecule: ribosomal RNA, 292 nt
Filed under: uncultured bacterium
Lineage: Bacteria
Description: partial 16S ribosomal RNA
Source: RNAcentral